CCUACGGGUGGCUGCAGUGGGGAAUAUUGCACAAUGGGGGAAACCCUGAUGCAGCGACGCCGCGUGAGUGAUGAAGUAUCUCGGUAUGUAAAGCUCUAUCAGCAGGGAAGAAAAUGACGGUACCUGACUAAGAAGCCCCGGCUAACUACGUGCCAGCAGCCGCGGUAAUACGUAGGGGGCAAGCGUUAUCCGGAUUUACUGGGUGUAAAGGGAGCGUAGACGGCGGUGCAAGCCAGUUGUGAAAGCCCGUGGCUCAACCCUGGGACUGCUUUUGAAACUGUGGAGCUAGAGUGUCGGAGGGGCAGGCGGAAUUCCUAGUGUAGCGGUGAAAUGCGUAGAUAUUAGGAGGAACACCAGUGGCGAAGGCGGCCUGCUGGACGAUGACUGACGUUGAGGCUCGAAAGCGUGGGGAGCAAACAGGAUUAGAUACCCCAGUAGUC
This 440-nucleotide ribosomal RNA is filed under the name uncultured bacterium. RNAcentral describes it as "partial 16S ribosomal RNA". It matches the Rfam family "Bacterial small subunit ribosomal RNA", at positions 338 to 795 of the family's 1533-position model. The record is from RNAcentral.